Molecule: ribosomal RNA, 253 nt
Filed under: uncultured bacterium
Lineage: Bacteria
Description: partial 16S ribosomal RNA
Rfam family: Bacterial small subunit ribosomal RNA
Source: RNAcentral
UACGGGGGGGGCAAGCGUUGUUCGGAAUUACUGGGCGUAAAGGGCUCGUAGGCGGCCAACUAAGUCAGACGUGAAAUCCCUCGGCUUAACCGGGGAACUGCGUCUGAUACUGGAUGGCUUGAGUUUGGGAGAGGGAUGCGGAAUUCCAGGUGUAGCGGUGAAAUGCGUAGAUAUCUGGAGGAACACCGGUGGCGAAAGCGGCUCACUGGACCUGAUCUGACACUGAGGUGCGAAAGCUAGGGUAGCAAACGGG